Molecule: ribosomal RNA, 790 nt
Filed under: uncultured Bacteroidota bacterium
Lineage: Bacteria; Pseudomonadati; Bacteroidota
Description: bacterial SSU rRNA
Rfam family: Bacterial small subunit ribosomal RNA
Source: RNAcentral
AGAGUUUGAUUAUGGCUCAGGAUGAACGCUAGCGGCAGGCCUAAUACAUGCAAGUCGAACGGGAUUUGAGUAGCAAUACUUAAUGAGAGUGGCGCACGGGUGCGUAACGCGUAUGCAACCUACCUUUAACAGGGGGAUAGCUCCGAGAAAUCGAAAUUAAUACCCCAUAGAAUUAUUGAUUGGCAUCAAUUAAUAAUUAAAGCUCCGGCGGUUAAAGAUGGGCAUGCGUGCCAUUAGCUAGUUGGUGAGGUAACGGCUCACCAAGGCAACGAUGGCUAGGGGUUCUGAGAGGAUUAUCCCCCACACUGGUACUGAGACACGGACCAGACUCCUACGGGAGGCAGCAGUAAGGAAUAUUGGGCAAUGGACGCAAGUCUGACCCAGCCAUGCCGCGUGCAGGAAGACAGCCCUAUGGGUUGUAAACUGCUUUUGUCAGGGAAUAACCCCCCGGAUGUAUCCGGGGCUGAAUGUACCUGAAGAAUAAGCAUCGGCUAACUCCGUGCCAGCAGCCGCGGUAAUACGGAGGAUGCGAGCGUUAUCCGGAUUCAUUGGGUUUAAAGGGUGCGCAGGCGGAUUAUUAAGUCAGUGGUGAAAUCCUACAGCUCAACUGUAGAACUGCCAUUGAUACUGAUAAUCUUGAGUGUAUAUGAAGUGGGCGGAAUGUAGCAUGUAGCGGUGAAAUGCAUAGAUAUGCUACAGAACACCAAUUGCGAAGGCAGCUCACUAAACUACAACUGACGCUCAUGCACGAAAGCGUGGGGAUCAAACAGGAUUAGAUACCCUGGUAGUC